CAAUAGCGUAUACUAACGUUGUUGCAGUUAAAAGCUCGAUAGUUGGAUUUCUGAUUACCUGAACUAGACUGACCCACCGGGCCAGGAUCUUUUACAGGUCGUCAACAUUUGGCGUGAUGGUGGUUCGUCCCUUCACUGGGCCGACUACUCAAUCGUCUCGUUUACUUUGAGAAAAUUAGAGUGUUCAAAGCAGGCUCUCGCCUUGAAUAUGUUAGCAUGGAAUAAUGACAUAGGACUCCGGUUCUAUUUGUUGGUUGUUCGAGAACUAGAGUAAUGAUUGAUAGGGACGGUUGGGGCGAUACGGUAUUCCGGGCGAGAGGUGAAAUUCAGUUG
This 333-nucleotide ribosomal RNA is filed under the name uncultured eukaryote. RNAcentral's name for it is "bacterial SSU rRNA". It matches the Rfam family "Eukaryotic small subunit ribosomal RNA", at positions 592 to 924 of the family's 1831-position model. The record is from RNAcentral.